AUUGAACGCUGGCGGCAGGCUUAACACAUGCAAGUCGAGCGAGCGGCGGACGGGUGAGUAAUGUCUGGGAAACUGCCUGAUGGAGGGGGAUAACUACUGGAAACGGUAGCUAAUACCGCAUACCAUCAGAUGUGCCCCGAUGGGAUUAGCUUGUAGGUGGGGUAAUGGCUGACCUAGGCGACGAUCCCUCGCUGGUCUGAGAGGUUGACCAGCAAGACUGGAACUGGUACACGGGCCAGACUCCUACGGAGGGCAGCAGUGGGGAAUAUUGCACAAUGGGCGCAAGCCUGAUGCAGCCAUGCCGCGUGUGUGAAGAAGGCCUUCGGGUUGUAAAGCACUUUCAGUGAGGAGGCGUUACUCGCAGAAGAAGCACCGGCAAACUCCGUGCCAGCAGCCGCGGUAAUAC
RNAcentral lists this ribosomal RNA (406 nucleotides) under uncultured bacterium. RNAcentral's name for it is "partial 16S ribosomal RNA". It matches the Rfam family "Bacterial small subunit ribosomal RNA", at positions 30 to 526 of the family's 1533-position model. The record is from RNAcentral.